This is a long non-coding RNA of Mauremys mutica (yellowpond turtle), 236 nucleotides long. RefSeq lists it as uncharacterized. The record is from RefSeq and is a predicted model, not a curated record. NCBI's taxonomy places the organism in Eukaryota, Metazoa, Chordata, Testudines, Geoemydidae. The transcript has 2 exons.
AGCCAAUGUUCAAACCUAUGGAAAUCCAACUGCUAAGUUAAAAUAUAAAAUUCCCACAACACGCUUACACACCCUAUUCACUAAGAUGCAUCCACAGACUGAACCUUUGGGGCUGUGCUGUGCUGGCAUGUAUGCAGUGUAUUUCCUCCAGUGAACAUCAACCUGAAAGCUUUACAUAGAUCAAUGGAUAAAGACCUUGAGUGUGAUCCUGCGACAAAACUCCCAGUGUAUUCAAG